GCGUCGGUGACAGUUGAGAGCCCCUGCUCGAGCUUGAAUAAAUGACCCUCGUGUGCUUACAUCGGGAUUGGCUUCCUGGUGGUCUUUGGGUCUACGCCAUCUGGGCACAACAUUUGGGUGCUCGUCAGGGAUCCCCAAGAUCCUCAGGAUUCCCAUACCAGACGGUUGACACCUGCUGCCCACUUGGGAUGAUUGUCAGCAGCUUCUCGAGAUCCUGUUUACAACAGAGGAGCUCAAAAGAAUCCAGAAUGAGGCCAGGAAAUUGGUUCCUGGUGACAAUGGUCAACUCACCACCAAUAUUGAUACUAUCAACACUUCUUUUCCUUUGUCCUGGCCCAACUGGGACUUCCACAUAGCAGAAGAGGCCCGCAAAGGAAUAACUCCACACAUCAGGAGGUUGCUUGCUCAGGGUAUUCUAAGGCCCUGUCAAUUGGC
Heterocephalus glaber (naked mole-rat) is the source of this 435-nucleotide long non-coding RNA. The record is from Ensembl. Lineage: Eukaryota; Metazoa; Chordata; Mammalia; Rodentia; Bathyergidae.